GAAGAAGCAGCAGCAGCAUUAGGAGCAGCAGGACGACGUAGUUGCUGGUUGUUGUCGUGGCUCGAGGAGCUUAGAGAAAGUCAGUCUUUGUAACUGGAAUGCUUGUAUGUACUUAAAAGUGUUAAUAGCAGCAACAUUUCUGAGGAUUAAAGUGUAGCCGGUAAGGACAGCUAGCUCUCAUGAACAGGUGCGGCACUGCGCGUUAGCUAAACUGCUCUCCACACGUGCGCUGAGACACUGGAGUAGGUCAGCUGCAGAAAAGAAGUUCCCGUGAAGUGAGCCACCUGUGGAUGUGACUUGCAUGGCCAAACUGCUGAAAGGCAAUCAGAGUUCAGGAGGCUGAACAACAUCAGUGGUGCUCCAGGAGACUGGACUCUGAUCAGUUAUCAAUAAAGAAACUGGUGCAGUUCAAGGUGUUCAAGCUCAUGCAAAGCUCUCCUGAACAGACUGACAGCUUUGAAGACUGCUGUCGCUCAAUAAGAAGGCCCAACAUCUGACAAACAGGUGAACUGUGAGUUCUUGACCUUUUGUGUACAAGGCUGAGACCGGGGGAACUGUCAACAACAGGUGUGGUUUCCGACGUGGGGGCCGUUAACAACAGGUGCGACCAGUCACAGGUCUCAGUGAAGAACCAAAACUCUUUAGUGGUCGGGGUCAAUGAACUCAAGAAAGGAAAAAAAACUGAUUGCAAUGUUUCAAUUCCAGUCUUAGCAUUUUCAGUAGUCUGACUCAAUCUGUUUUGAUCAUUUAUCAUUGGGAGGCCACAGGAGUAUAAUCUGUUAAUUGUCUCAUGUAAUACUAAUUAUUGGUUUUUCUUGACAUGAGGUCUAAAGAGGGACACGUCCUGAUUUCAGUUAGUUGACCACAGCUAACAAUUUUGCUGCGAGCUCUGUGUAAAGUCAACAAGGGAUGUGUGUGAGUAUGACCUCUGACUCGAGAAUUUACCACAACAUUUCAGACUCGCUUGACUUUAGAUUUUGACUGACUGCACUACAUGGUGUUAUAUUCAGAACAAGACCAAUAGAAAUACACAAAAUACAAAAAAAAAGAAGUCACAAAAGUAAAAUAAUCAAGGUUUUUCUUACUAACACCAGAUUAAGUCCAAUUAGCUUUCCUUUCUUUUCAAAUUUAGAGGUCAAUAAUAGUUGUAAUUUUAGUCAUAUAUACAUAUAUACGUGUGAUAAAUGAUUGGUUGAAUUGCCAUAGGCAAUGUAUUAUUAGAUCUUGGAAUCACAAUUUUUAUGUAUGUUUUUAUCUUUAUGUUUGUUUCUAUUUUUUGUCUUUAGAGUUUUCUGUUUUUAUUUUAUUCCAAAGUACACACUCCACAUGUACACAUAUGAUUUCCAGUAUUUAAGCUUUUAUAAAUGACUUGACCUAUAAACAUAUUUCUCAUGAGUCAACAUGAAUAAUUCAUGUUAAGUCAUUUGUGUGCAUCACACUCAGGUGGACAGGUAUGGUAGCAUCUUAAAAGGCAGUCUAUUUGUCCUUCUGUUAGCACAGGUGAACAGUGCAAACAACUGAUCCAUGUUUUUAAUUAUUCCAGCUGGCUUCAGCUUGGAUGGGUGGGUGGGGGGGCUGCCACUUUCCCUCUUCGUGCAGUCCUUUAAAAUUGUAUUUGCUUCUCCUAAAGGAAUAAUGAAAAACAAAUUUAAUGGGUUGCAAUUGGUGUAUGAUUUUUCUCUUUUUGCCAUUUAAAUAUAUUGUUGCAUUUCUACAUCAGCACAGAUGUUUGAGCCUGCUUGGUUUUAAUAUGAAUACAUAUACAGCUGGAGACUUGACUCUUUACUAUACACGUGAUUUACAUAAAAUAAAAACAAAGCAUGGAUAAAAGAUC
Long non-coding RNA from Archocentrus centrarchus (flier cichlid), 1834 nucleotides. RefSeq lists it as uncharacterized. The record is from RefSeq and is a predicted model, not a curated record. NCBI's taxonomy places the organism in Eukaryota, Metazoa, Chordata, Actinopteri, Cichliformes, Cichlidae. The transcript has 4 exons.